UGAUAGCUCGGUCAGUAGAGCACGAGACUCUUUAUCCCGGGGCUGUGAGUUCGAGCCUCAUGUUGGGUGAA
Non-coding RNA from Podarcis lilfordi (Lilford's wall lizard), 71 nucleotides. The record is from the annotation of a GenBank genome assembly. Lineage: Eukaryota; Metazoa; Chordata; Lepidosauria; Squamata; Lacertidae.